RNAcentral lists this ribosomal RNA (484 nucleotides) under uncultured bacterium. RNAcentral's name for it is "partial 16S ribosomal RNA". It matches the Rfam family "Bacterial small subunit ribosomal RNA", at positions 30 to 507 of the family's 1533-position model. The record is from RNAcentral.
AUUGAACGCUGGCGGCAGGCCUAACACAUGCAAGUCGAGCGGAUGAAGGGAGCUUGCUCCUGGAUUCAGCGGCGGACGGGUGAGUAAUGCCUAGGAAUCUGCCUGGUAGUGGGGGAUAACGUCCGUAAACGGGCGCUAAUACCGCAUACGUCCUGAGGGAGAAAGUGGGGGAUCUUCGGACCUCACGCUAUCUGAUGAGCCUAGGUCGGAUUAGCUAGUUGGUGGGGUAAAGGCCUACCAAGGCGACGAUCCGUAACUGGUCUGAGAGGAUGAUCAGACACACUGGAACUGAGACACGGUCCAGACUCCUACGGGAGGCAGCAGUGGGGAAUAUUGCACAAUGGGCGAAAGCCUGAUCCAGCCAUGCCGCGUGUGUGAAGAAGGUCUUCGGAUUGUAAAGCACUUUAAGUUGGGAGGAAGGGCAGUAAGUUAAUACCUUGCUGUUUUGACGUUACCAACAGAAUAAGCACCGGCUAACUUCGUG